This 429-nucleotide ribosomal RNA is filed under the name Actinomycetes bacterium. RNAcentral's name for it is "Actinobacteria bacterium partial 16S ribosomal RNA". It matches the Rfam family "Bacterial small subunit ribosomal RNA", at positions 355 to 776 of the family's 1533-position model. Lineage: Bacteria; Bacillati; Actinomycetota; Actinomycetes. The record is from RNAcentral.
UAGGGAAUCUUCCGCAAUGGGCGAAAGCCUGCCGGAGCAACGCCGCGUGAGUGAUGAAGGUCUUCGGAUCGUAAAACUCUGUUAUUAGGGAAGAACAAAUGUGUAAGUAACUAUGCACGUCUUGACGGUACCUAAUCAGAAAGCCACGGCUAACUACGUGCCAGCAGCCGCGGUAAUACGUAGGUGGCAAGCGUUAUCCGGAAUUAUUGGGCGUAAAGCGCGCGUAGGCGGUUUUUUAAGUCUGAUGUGAAAGCCCACGGCUCAACCGUGGAGGGUCAUUGGAAGCUGGAAAACUUGAGUGCAGAAGAGGAAAGUGGAAUUCCAUGUGUAGCGGUGAAAUGCGCAGAGAUAUGGAGGAACACCAGUGGCGAAGGCGACUUUCUGGUCUGUAACUGACGCUGAUGUGCGAAAGCGUGGGGAUCAAACAGG